GACGAACGCUGGCGGCAUGCCUAAUACAUGCAAGUCGAACGAACCAUCCUGAAGAUUGAAGCUUGCUUCAUGAUUCAGAUCUUGGUGAGUGGCGGACGGGUGAGUAACACGUGGGUAACCUGCCCAAAAGUGGGGGAUAACAUUUGGAAACAAGUGCUAAUACCGCAUAACAACUACUUUCACAUGAUCGUAGCUUGAAAGAUGGCUCUGCUAUCGCUUUUGGAUGGACCCGCGGCGUAUUAGCUAGUUGGUGAGGUAAUAGCUCACCAAGGCAAUGAUACGUAGCCGACCUGAGAGGGUAAUCGGCCACAUUGGGACUGAGACACGGCCCAAACUCCUACGGGAGGCAGCAGUAGGGAAUCUUCCACAAUGGGCGAAAGCCUGAUGGAGCAAUGCCGCGUGAGUGAAGAAGGUUUUCGGAUCGUAAAACUCUGUUGUUGAAGAAGAACAUGCGUGAGAGUAACUGUUCACGUACUGACGGUAU
This 484-nucleotide ribosomal RNA is filed under the name uncultured bacterium. RNAcentral's name for it is "bacterial SSU rRNA". It matches the Rfam family "Bacterial small subunit ribosomal RNA", at positions 28 to 478 of the family's 1533-position model. The record is from RNAcentral.